ACUCCUACGGGAGGCAGCAGUAGGGAAUCUUCCACAAUGGGCGCAAGCCUGAUGGAGCAACACCGCGUGAGUGAAGAAGGGUUUCGGCUCGUAAAGCUCUGUUGUUAAAGAAGAACACGUAUGAGAGUAACUGUUCAUACGUUGACGGUAUUUAACCAGAAAGUCACGGCUAACUACGUGCCAGCAGCCGCGGUAAUACGUAGGUGGCAAGCGUUAUCCGGAUUUAUUGGGCGUAAAGAGAGUGCAGGCGGUUUUCUAAGUCUGAUGUGAAAGCCUUCGGCUUAACCGGAGAAGUGCAUCGGAAACUGGAUAACUUGAGUGCAGAAGAGGGUAGUGGAACUCCAUGUGUAGCGGUGGAAUGCGUAGAUAUAUGGAAGAACACCAGUGGCGAAGGCGGCUACCUGGUCUGCAACUGACGCUGAGACUCGAAAGCAUGGGUAGCGAACAGGAUUAGAUACCCU
Molecule: ribosomal RNA, 461 nt
Filed under: uncultured bacterium
Lineage: Bacteria
Description: bacterial SSU rRNA
Rfam family: Bacterial small subunit ribosomal RNA
Source: RNAcentral